GAUGAACGCUGGCGGCGCGCCUAACACAUGCAAGUCGAACGGUUAAAGCACCUUUUAGGUGUGUAUAAAGUGGCGAACGGCUGAGUAACACGUGGGCAACCUGCCCUCCUCUUGGGGAUAGCCUCGGGAAACCGAGGAUAAUACCCGAUACUUCAAUGUGGCCGCAUGACGACAUUGAGAAAGCUUUUGCGGAGAAGGAUGGGCCCGCGGCCUGUUAGCUUGUUGGUGGGGUAGAGGCCUACCAAGGCAAUGAUGGGUAGCUGGGUUGAGAGACCGACCAGCCAGAUUGGGACUGAGACACGGCCCAGACUCCUACGGGAGGCAGCAGUGGGGAAUCUUGCACAAUGGGCGAAAGCCUGAUGCAGCGACGCCGCGUGCGGGAAGAAGGCCUUCGGGUUGUAAACCGCUUUCAGCAGGGACGAGGCGAAA
This 429-nucleotide ribosomal RNA is filed under the name Lancefieldella rimae. RNAcentral's name for it is "bacterial SSU rRNA". It matches the Rfam family "Bacterial small subunit ribosomal RNA", at positions 28 to 455 of the family's 1533-position model. The record is from RNAcentral. Lineage: Bacteria; Bacillati; Actinomycetota; Coriobacteriia; Coriobacteriales; Atopobiaceae.